AGUGAACGCUGGCGGUAGGCCUAACACAUGCAAGUCGAACGGCAGCACAGUAAGAGCUUGCUCUUACGGGUGGCGAGUGGCGGACGGGUGAGGAAUAUAUCGGAAUCUACUUUUUCGUGGGGGAUAACGUAGGGAAACUUACGCUAAUACCGCAUACGCCCUACGGGUGAAAGCAGGGGAUCUUCGGACCUUGCGCGAUUGAAUGAGCCGCUGUCGGAUUAGCUAGUUGGCGGGGUAAAGGCCCACCAAGGCGACGAUCCGUAGCUGGUCUGAGAGGAUGAUCAGCCACACUGGAGCUGAGACACGGUCCAGACUCCUACGGGAGGCAGCAGUGGGGAAUGUGGGACAAUGGGCGCAAGCCUGAUCCAGCCAUACCGCGUGGGUGAAGGAGGCCUUCGGGUUGUAAAGCCCUUUUGUUGGGAAAGAAAAGCAGCAGGUUAAUACCCCGCUGUUCUGACGGUACCCAAAGAAUAAGCACCGGCUAACUUCGUG
RNAcentral lists this ribosomal RNA (492 nucleotides) under uncultured bacterium. Its description in RNAcentral is "partial 16S ribosomal RNA". It matches the Rfam family "Bacterial small subunit ribosomal RNA", at positions 29 to 507 of the family's 1533-position model. The record is from RNAcentral.